Molecule: ribosomal RNA, 524 nt
Filed under: Octopus californicus
Lineage: Eukaryota; Metazoa; Mollusca; Cephalopoda; Octopoda; Octopodidae
Description: partial 16S ribosomal RNA
Rfam family: Bacterial large subunit ribosomal RNA
Source: RNAcentral
GUCUCUUUGAAUUAAUAAUAAUAAAGAGUUUGGCCUGCUCAGUGAGAUUUUUAACAGCUGCGGUAUUAUAACUGUACUAAGGUAGCAUAAUAAUUUGCCUUAUAAAUUAAGGCUAGAAUGAAUGGUUUAACGAAAAUUAUACUGUCUCUAUUUUAAUUAAUAGAAAUUAAUUUUUAUAGUGAAAAAGCUUAAAUAAUUUAAAGGGACGAGAAGACCCUAUUGAGCUUUAUAUUAGUUAUAAUAAAUAUUAUUUAUUUGGUUAAAUUAAUAUUGUAUUUAUUGUGUUUAAUUUUGGUUGGGGUGAUCAAGGAAUAAAUGGGUAGAAUUUAACUUCCUUAAAGAAAACUGUUUUUAGAAUAAUUAACCGAUAAUAUCGCUUAUAUGAUAAGUUACCAUAGGGAUAACAGCGUAAUUUUUUUGGAGAGUUCAUAUUAAAAAAAGAGAUUGCGACCUCGAUGUUGGAUUAAAAUAACCAUAGGGUGAAGAAGCUAUAUAUGGUAAAUCUGUUCGAUUUAUAAAAUUUU